UACGUAGGGUGCAAGCGUUGUCCGGAAUUAUUGGGCGUAAAGAGCUCGUAGGCGGUUUGUCGCGUCUGCUGUGAAAACUCGGGGCUUAACCCCGGGCCUGCAGUGGGUACGGGCAGACUAGAGUGUGGUAGGGGAGACUGGAAUUCCUGGUGUAGCGGUGAAAUGCGCAGAUAUCAGGAGGAACACCGGUGGCGAAGGCGGGUCUCUGGGCCAUAACUGACGCUGAGGAGCGAAAGCGUGGGGAGCGAACAGG
Molecule: ribosomal RNA, 253 nt
Filed under: uncultured bacterium
Lineage: Bacteria
Description: partial 16S ribosomal RNA
Rfam family: Bacterial small subunit ribosomal RNA
Source: RNAcentral